GAUGAACGCUAGCGAUAGGCUUAACACAUGCAAGUCGAGGGGUCCAGAGUAGCAAUACUCUGGACGACCGGCGCACGGGUGAGUAACACGUAUGCAACCUACUCGUAACAGGGGGAUAGCCCGAAGAAAUUCGGAUUAAUACCGCAUAAUACAGGAAUACUGCAUGGUAAUUCUGUUAAAAAAUUUAUUUGGUUACGAAUGGGCAUGCGCAGGAUUAGUUAGUUGGUAAGGUAACGGCUUACCAAGACGAUGAUCCUUAGGGGUUCUGAGAGGAAGACCCCCCACACUGGUACUGAGACACGGACCAGACUCCUACGGGAGGCAGCAGUGAGGAAUAUUGGUCAAUGGUCGAAAGACUGAACCAGCCAAGUCGCGUGAAGGAAGACAGUAUUAUGUAUUGUAAACUUCUUUUGUAAGGGAAUAAAGUGCGUCACGUGUGACGUUUUGUAUGUACCUUACGAAUAAGCAUCGGCUAACUCCGUGCCAGCAGCCGCGGUAAUACGGGGGAUGCGAGCGUUAUCCGGAUUUAUUGGGUUUAAAGGGUGCGUAGGUGGUCUGAAAAGUCAGCGGUGAAAUGUCAUUGCUUAACAGUGAAACGGCCGUUGAAACUCUCAGGCUUGAGAAUGGACGGGGCAUGCGGAAUUCGUAGUGUAGCGGUGAAAUGCAUAGAUAUUACGAGGAACUCCGAUAGCGUAGGCAGCAUGCCAGACCAUAUCUGACACUGAGGCACGAAGGUGUGGGUAUCAAACAGGAUUAGAUACCCUGGUAGUCCACACAGUAAACGAUGAAUACUGACUGUUUGCGAUAUAAUGUAAGUGGUUAAGCGAAAGCGUUAAGUAUUCCACCUGGGGAGUACGCCGGCAACGGUGAAACUCAAAGGAAUUGACGGGGGCCCGCACAAGCGGAGGAACAUGUGGUUUAAUUCGAUAAUACGCGAGGAACCUUACCCGGGCUCGAACGGCUGAUGAAUAUCUGCGAAAGUGGAUAGUCCGCAAGGACAGCAGUCGAGGUGCUGCAUGGUUGUCGUCAGCUCGUGCCGUGAGGUGUCGGCUUAAGUGCCAUAACGAGCGCAACCCUUGCUGUUAGUUACUAACAAGUUAAGUUGAGGACUCUAACAGGACUGCCAUCGUAAGAUGCGAGGAAGGUGAGGAUGACGUCAAAUCAGCACGGCCCUUACGUCCGGGGCGACACACGUGUUACAAUGGGUGGGACAAAGGGUAGCUACGCAGCAAUGCGAUGCAAAUCUCUAAAUCCACUCUCAGUUCGGAUUGGAGUCUGCAACUCGACUCUAUGAAGCUGGAUUCGCUAGUAAUCGCGCAUCAGCCACGGCGCGGUGAAUACGUUCCCGGGCCUU
This 1354-nucleotide ribosomal RNA is filed under the name uncultured bacterium. Its description in RNAcentral is "bacterial SSU rRNA". It matches the Rfam family "Bacterial small subunit ribosomal RNA", at positions 28 to 1382 of the family's 1533-position model. The record is from RNAcentral.